Molecule: long non-coding RNA, 4755 nt
Organism: Passer domesticus (house sparrow)
Lineage: Eukaryota; Metazoa; Chordata; Aves; Passeriformes; Passeridae
Exons: 6
Source: RefSeq, a predicted model, not a curated record
AGGAUCCUGAAGGAGUAGAGGGGGAAAUCACUUUUGGCAUAUACAGUUGGACUGGUGCACAGAUUGUGAACAAAGGGAAUGCUUCAAAAGCAAAUCAUCCUGGAUGAAAAUGUAGCUAUAAAAAUGUGAUUGGAUAUAUUUUUGUUAACAGACCAUAAAACAUACAAUAGCUUUGCUGGGCUAUUUUUUUAUUUAACUGUAUUUUUAAUUUUAUCUCCAGUAUUAAUUUUACUUGUUUGACAUCCAUAAUCCAUCUUCUUUUCUGAGAUCUACAUUUUUAAUAGGUAAGAAGACAUUUAUUUACUCUUUAUAACUUCUUGUAUAAUAGAUAAAAUAUUACUUUCUUUUCUAGUGUUGCUCACUAUUCAAUUUCUCCCAGAACUUCCAUCAGUCUAAUUUCUGUUCAGUAGCUUCUUUGCAGCUAACUAGCAGUGCAGCAAUUUGGAAUUCUGUACCUCAUGGUGUGAUGCAGCAGUAUUUGCAGUCAAAAAAAUUUCAGUAGUUAACAGCUUUUCAGUUAGAAAAGAUGAGACUUGAGGCUAUAACCUCUCCACCAUUUUUUUUCCAGGCCUUUCUGUAGCACAUUACUCUUUUCUUUUUUCUUUCACUUUAAUUCUGGGCUCAACAAGAGGAGGAACUGCUGCAAAAGGUCUUACAAAAAAAAUUCUUCUGCCACUUUGCAAUUGUAACCUAUUUCAAAGAAAUAGGUUACAUCGUCUAUACUAGAAAAAAAUGUUACAAAAGUGCCAAUAGAUGUAUUUUUAUAAAUAGUGUCUUUACUGAUAUAUUUAAAAAGAUAAAUGUGAGUUAGUGAAACUCACCCACUUCUUUUUUUCCAGCUCUUGAAAGCACAGCAGUGACUUGGGUAUGAUAGGUCAGCUCUCAUUAGCUGAAGAAAUACCUUUACAGCUGGUAAUUUCUUUAAAGUCCAUGUAUUUUUGGCCAUUAGUUCCUUUAGGCUCUCCAGUCCUUUGGCUGGAAGGUUAGCAACAGCUGUUCUGGAGAUGUCCCUAAGAAGGAAAAAGAUGACUAGAUCAGAUUUAUUUUCAGAUUGUUACUGUUCUUCAGGAGUUCCACAGAAUUCUGCAAUAAAAAUAAAUCCUAAAGAGAUGGGGAUUUCAUAUUGCCUUAUUAAGUUCUGAUACUGUUCAAAUUCAGGUAAGGCUGUUCAUUGCUCUAUGAUUUUCACUGUUUUUUAAAGCUCUUGUCUUUAAUGACUUUUAGCACAGAAUAAGUAUUAUAAAGAAAUAUCACAACUCGUAAAAUUACACCUUUAAAGCCAACCAGAUACAAAUACAUGUGCGACCACAGAGUUUUAAAAAUCCUUUAAAGAAAUCACAUCUUCCAUUGGAAGAGUUAUAUUCCCUUAGACUUCCUUGGAUUAAGUUUAACCUAUUGGCACACUUUAAUAGAAAGCAUUGCAAUUCCUAAAAGAAUAUUCUCUAUAUACUGAAAUUCAAAUCUUCUGUCAUAGUCCAUCCUGAAUCUCUCAGAAAACUGAGUAUUAUGUUUGUUGCUUUCUACUUGUCUGCUGAGGUGGACUCAUGAGAAAGAUGAUUCCCAGUUGAUGGGGAGGUGGCUUUACUUUUAGACUGCCAGGAGUGUCACCUGGUCGUGCUAGUGUUUUCUACUCAGUUUUCCUUUGUCCCAAAACCUCUUCUAGUGACACUUAAAGUUGUUUUUAGAAUUACAGUCUGUGAAGUAAACCUGUAAAAAGAGUUCUAGGGUAGGAACAUUGUUUGAGCAUUGUUUUAUCAUGAACACUCUCAAAUAAAUGUUUUAUCUACAUUUUCUUAUCCUUCUAGAAGUCUUGCUCACUGUCUGGUUUCUUGCACCCAGAAGGAAAUUAGAACUAAUUUUAUGCUUUAAACAAUUUUUAAAUGUCUACAGCAUUUGGGUUUGCUCUGGGUUUUUUUUUUUCCUUUUGGUUUGUUUGUAUUUGUUUUUAAAUUGAGUUAGAAAAUGCUGCUCCUUUUUGUAGGAGGACUUUUUCACUUCUGAAAGUUCCCUUGCUAUCAUAUGUUCUUUAAUAUGUCACAACUAAUUAAUUUCAACUACAUGAAAUUCUUUUUUGUUCUUCUGGAGUCCUUUUUGAUAGAUAUUUUUACCAAGAGCCUGAACUGGCUCUUAGAAGAGUCUGAAUAUUGUCUGCUAUCAUUUUAUCUUCUAAAGAAUCACAGAGUAGUUGAGUUUCCAAAUUAUCUAGUUUGACCUCCUUGAUCAAAACAGGUUCACCUGGAGCAGGUUGCUCUGAGCUGUCCCCCAUUGACUUCUCAGCAUCUCUAGGUCAGGAGACUCCACAGCCUCUUUAGCAAUGUGUUGUGGCAUUUGAGUACUCUCGCAACAAAGAAAUUUUUUCAGAUGUAUGAUGAGGUCACCUCUCAGUCAUUUCUUCUCUCAGUCAUUUCAGAGAACAGGCCCAGCUCCCUGAGCUUUUCGUCAUGAGGGAGAUGCUCCAGACCCUUAACCAUCUUUGUUGCUCUGCACUGGACCUGUGUCAGGAGCUCCAAAUCUCUCUGGUACUGAGGAGCCCAGAGCUGGACACAGCACUGCAGCUGUGGCCUCACCAGGGCUGAGGAGAGGGGCAGGAUCACCUCCCUUGACCUGCUGGCAAUGCUCUUCCUUCUUCUGCAGCAAAACAUCUUGAGUUCAUCAAGAGAUGGCUCAGUCACUUAAAUCAACUUUGUUUUGAGACUUGAAAUGGACACAGCAUUCACUGCAUAGCCAUGCCCAGCAGUAUAGAGGAUAGCAUAUAUUUUUGCUAUAUAACAAGGCAAGAUAUAAUAUAAACUUCAUUCCUUAUAUCUUCUGUCCACAGUUAAGUCUUUAAAUAUUUCUACCCAAGAGAAUGCUUGGUCUGCAAAUGGCUUUUCAUCUGCAUAUGUUGAAAAACCAGCCUGACACUAAUCAUAGCUAUGGCCAUGAUGGUGCUUUCUGUAGGUGUGUUGGUGGGGAUGCUGUAUCUCCAGCAAUCACCAUCAUUGCCUGGAAUCACGACUUCCUCAUUUUUCUGAAAUUUUUGUCUCUUCCCUUAUUCCCCUCAAUAUUUCUAAUUCCUCUGUUUUCUAGCAGACAAGUUGUCUAAGAAAUAGAAGUGGGAAAAGAUACAGAAGUUAGUAGAUAAAUCACUAUGUAGACACUGGUACAAAGACUUCAACCUCUCCAUAUAUUGUUGUACUGACAAAACAGUUCUGCUUCACCUUUCAGGUCAUCAGUUUUCUCUGUUUACUAAAACACUGCAAGGAAAUGAGGAUUUCGCUUUUACUUGCAUGUUAAAUUGAUGUCAUGAAUUGCUCUAGUACUGCUACUGUAGUGCUGCAUUCAACUAUUCUUCAGAUCUGUUAGCUACUUUGAACUGUAGCUGUGUUUCUGCAUUUAAAGAAAUCCUCUCAGUGUCAGUUUCCUGCUUCUCUCCAAUUAUUUUAUUAGUUAUGUAGCUAUCACAUUCUCAACAGUGGAAUUUGCUUUGUAAACAUUAACUGACAUGUUUUUUCCAUCACUGGGUGCUUUAAAAAUGUUGGACUUGUGAGCUUCCUGGCCUGAUAAUCCUCUGUGGACCAAGCAUAUUCCAGGGAAAGAGAGACUUUAGUUCAGCCUUUAGCCUGGAAAUGGAUAAUGCACUGGAGUAUCAAAGAGUCAUCAGGUUUUGGUUUGUUGUUAUUCAUAGUAUUCUGCCUAAAUUAUUUGGAUGAGGGUACUGGAAAUAAGAAUUCAAAAUCAGCAGAUAGUACUAAAACUUAAAGAACAAAGUAAUGUAAUGAGAUACAAUUUUGAUUUCUUAAGUAAUUGGUCCAUGAGAGGACAUUUGCUGAUUAAAAGAGGCAAAUAAAAAGCUAACUAAUCUGGGAAGAAAAUAUUUUAAACAGCCAGAUGAGACAGCACAGUAAUGAGAGAAAAUCUUAAAUAAUGUGAAUGAGGGAAUCAAUAUAAUUCAACUAAACAUUGGGAAAAGGCUUAUAUCCCUGCUGUUCAAUUUUCUUGAACUGGUAAUGUUUGGAUUCAAAAAGAAGUAUGCUUUUCUAUAAACUGUAUUUAUGCUUGCAAUUCAUCCUACGCUUUGUAUUGCAGAGGUGCUUUAAAGCCCAAAAGGAAGAAAAGGGCCACUGUGGAGCAGACAGCCAGACUGAGAAAUGUCUAGUCAAAACAGAUGAGAGAGCCAAACCAUCCAUGUUAUUUCCUCUGCAUGCACCUGUUCCAGCCUUUGCACCAGUGGCACCAGAAAACUGGCUUGGGCUCCCAACAGCCUACUCCCUACCUCCAGACUGCAGAUUUGAACAAGAUUUUUUUGCACAGCACUUAUCCCAGCUCUGAAAUUCACUGCAGAUGCUUGGAUAUUCCCUGAUUAAAUUAUACAUGUGCCUUCCUUCCAAACAGAUUUUAUAAACCAGCAUCCCCCGUAUUGCUGUCCACCAUCUACCCCUGUUGUCCUCUGCUGCUGAUGGAGAGCAGCUUGGUGACAUGUAGGACACUUCAGAAGAGGACAACCAGGAGCAGGCCUCUUAAGUCCUCUGCCUGGCAGUGCAGCCUGAGGAAAUGGAGCAUUACCUGGCACAGAGGAUAGACCAAAGAAGCACUGAAGUGUACUGGACAUACAGCAAUCCAUGGGACCAGACACGUUGCACCUAAGUGCAAUGAGGAUGCUGGCUGACAUCAUUUUGAGGCUACCCUCUUAUCUUUGAAAUAAUCUUUGAAAUAAAGCAGCAUGCACAUCUUCUAGUGCAGCACAAAGGAGGAUCUGAGGAAACACAGGUUGCU